CGGCAGUGUUGACUUCUGGUCUCUGUCUGUGCAUUCACGGGUACCUACAGGCACACGUGUGUGUACACACACACACACUUCUCCCUCUCUUAAAUGUGAGUACACAUUGUGAUGAAAUGAAACCAAUUUUAGACUCUCGGACAAAGGUGCUCAUCACAGGUCGGAUCUCUCGCGCAACUGGCCAGCUGCUGCACGGCCCUUUGGAAGAGAACCCCAGGAGUCUCGAGGAGAUGCGAGCCGCUUCUGUGUUCCUGCUGGCGGCUGCGGUCGGUCGUCCGGUUAGCUGGAGCUCAAGAUCUGCAAGCCACAGACAACAGAAUGGAAAGCAGGGAACUGAAAUCUAAGGGUUGCUUUCCACAUCAUGAGAGCCCCACAGCACCGCUGGCAUGAAGCACCCCGACACCAAGCUCAGAAACACGGAGCCACAGCUCUAGUUCAUGUGCUCUGAGAGAGGGCGAUUUAUCGGGCAGUUUGUACCGUUCUCAGGGCAGAGCUCUGGACUCCUCUGCCGCCUCCACCCAGCAGGGAUUUGGUCAUCUCCUUAAGUGUGACCUCAUAGUUUCAUUUAAAAGGAGUUUUCCUAAUACGUUGAAAAAAAAAAAAUACAGUUGAAUCAUGGCAUGACCCUGUUGUGUAAAGCGAGAUAUCUGGUCCCGUUUCCCUGUGGCUGCGGGUUCUGGGUUGGAGGGCCAAGCGGUACAAAGCCGCUUCUUUCAUGAAGACCGCUGCCUUUUUCUUUAUUUCCAAAGUGGC
This 753-nucleotide long non-coding RNA is filed under the name Meriones unguiculatus (Mongolian gerbil). RNAcentral's name for it is "lncRNA (ENSMUGG00000015673.1)". The record is from RNAcentral. Lineage: Eukaryota; Metazoa; Chordata; Mammalia; Rodentia; Muridae.